UGCAUAAUUGCAUACAUUUCAUACAUGCAUAAUUGCAUACAUACAUAUUUGCUUCUUUUGCACAUUCCUAAUUGCUUCCUUGCUUCUUUGUCUGAUACUUUGUUUACUUGCUUAUUUCUUCUGUCUUCAUUCGUUCAUUGCUUGCUUCCUUGCUUCCUUGCUUCUUUGUCUGAUACUUUGUUUACUUGCUUAUUUCUUCUGUCUUCAUUCAUUCAUUGCUUGCUUCCUUGCUUCCUUGCUUCCUUGCUUCCUUGCUUCCUUGCUUCUUUGUCUGAUACUUUGUUUACUUGCUUAUUUCUUCUGUCUUCAUUCAUUCAUUGCUUGCUUCCUUGCUUCCUUGUUUCCUUGCUUCUUUGUCUGAUACUUUGUUUACUUGCUUAUUUCUUCUGCCUUCAUUCAUUCAUUGCUUGCUUCCUUGCUUCUUGUUUUCUGCCUUCCUAUAUCAGGCCAUGAGUUCAUGAUAUACUGGAACUGUUUGAGGCCAAAGGAAAAGGUUUGCCUCUUAAGUUCAUGAUAUACACAAACAAAAAUUUUGACCUUGAUGAGGCUAUCAUUAGAAGGUUGAUGGCGGAACUACCAGAUGCUCUUAAUCUAGCAAAGAUAGUAAAGGUUAUACUUGCAAAAGAAGACUUGUCCCCUGAUUUGGAUAUUGAUGGGUUUACUAGUAUGACUAAUGGAUAUUUUGGAAACGAUCUUAAGAAUCUAUGUGUUACUGAAUCCCACCUUCCAAUCAAGGAGAUAAUGGGGAAGUAAAAAAAAUAUAGAGUAGUACCACAUUCAGCUGCAGAGAAAGACAUAAUUUAGUCAGACAAACAUGAAUAUAUAUCAAGGAAGGAAGCUUUAGAACAAGAGUAGAGAAUCGUCAUCACGUUUAGUUCAUAAUCAGACACAUCUCUAUCUGGGAAUCUGCUCACUAGUUAUACACCGGCGAACGCCUCUGACAGUCUGACCUAUUGCAUGCUUUAGCUAACAAUGUGUUGGGUACAACACCUGAGAGGCAGAUUUCACCUUGGGGCAUUCUCAAUGCCACUUAGCCUUUCUCAUUCGGACAACCACCUCUCAGAUUUGAGAAAGGAUUAAAUCUCUGGAGAAAUACCUCCAAAGAGGUCAAUGAUGAGGCUUUCGAAGGGUUAUCGUAAAAAGUAUCUUGAAGGAAGAUAUAUGAGAUCUUUGCAGCAUAUAGGAACACAGAUAGGAACAACUUCAAAGUGCACAUAUGGUAUAAUUCUUCAUACAAGGACGAUGCAGGAAAGAGACUAACAAAGUUAUCCGAGUUCACUGCUCAGUCAAUUUGGCAAGAAAACAACAAUGUGUCAAAUGCUUACCUUCAAUUUCUACAAGGUUAGGGACAAGGAUGUUAUUUGAAUAACAUGUCAAACCAGAAACAAGUCUUCCUCUAGAAAUCGUGUCUCUAAGUUUGCUUUCAAUAAACUACUUUACGUUUUAAUUCGCUGGAUCAUGUGGAACUACUACGAACUCUCAUCAAAAACCAGAGUACACUUUUUCAUUGCAGUAGCAAGAGAGUAGAUUGAUGGAUGUGCUUUUCAGGAAUGAGGCAGGAUUGUGAAGUAGCAUGAACCUGAGAAUUGAAAAAGUUGUAGUGGAAGAAGGUGAAAACUAGUAUUGACAUGCUAUCGAGGCCAUCUAGGAAUAUUUUUCCACGUACAUAUUCAUUAAUUUAUGUUCAUUACCGAAAGAAACCAAGAACCAGAGUGAUUGUGGUAAGGAUGAUUCCAAAAACAAAAAAGACAGAGGACAUUAGUUUCAAUUUGAAUGUUCUCUUAUGCAGGAGCUGCUGGUUCAUAAUCUGAUAGAUACAAUCUAAACCAUCUCUCCACGAUUCCUAGACCUUGGUUUGAAGAAUCUACAUGCAGAUAAUAAUGAGUGGUUUUAAUCGGAAAAUAAUAAUAAUAACAUUAAGUAAGGACUAAGGAGGUUUUACUCAAUUGACAUUGUCUUCAAAAUCACUUGCAGGAGAUAAAGAAAUUGUGUGUGAAGAG
This is a long non-coding RNA of Capsella rubella, 2000 nucleotides long. RefSeq lists it as uncharacterized. The record is from RefSeq and is a predicted model, not a curated record. NCBI's taxonomy places the organism in Eukaryota, Viridiplantae, Streptophyta, Magnoliopsida, Brassicales, Brassicaceae. The transcript has 13 exons.